UAACAGCUCAAAUUUGAAAUCUGGCUCCCCUGGAGUCCGAGUUGUAAUUUGUAGAAGAUGCUUUGGGUUGUGGGUUCGGCCUAAGUUCCUUGGAACAGGACGUCAUAGAGGGUGAGAAUCCCGUACGUGGCCGAGGCCCGCGCCUAUGUAAAGCUCUUUCAACGAGUCGAGUUGUUUGGGAAUGCAGCUCAAAAUGGGUGGUAAAUUUCAUCUAAAGCUAAAUAUGGGCCAGAGACCGAUAGCGCACAAGUAGAGUGAUCGAAAGAUGAAAAGCACUUUGGAAAGAGAGUUAAACAGUACGUGAAAUUGUUGAAAGGGAAGCGCUUGCACCCAGACUUGGGCGCUGUCGAUCACCUUGAGUUCCCCUCGAGUGCACUCGACAGCGCACAGGCCAGCAUCGGUUCGGGUGGCUGGAUAAAGGCCGUAGGAACGUAGCUCCCUCCGGGGAGUGUUAUAGCCUACGGUGCCAUGCAGCCCAGCCGGACCGAGGACCGCGCCUUCGGGCUAGGAUGCUGGCGUAAUGGGUGUAAGCGACCCGUCUUGAAACACGGACCAAGGAGUCUAACAUCUAUGCGAGUGUUUGGGUGGUAAACCCAUACGCGGAAUGAAAGUGAACGUAGGUGAGAACCCCUUUGGGGCGCAUCAUCGACCGAUCCUGAUGUCUUCGG
This 668-nucleotide ribosomal RNA is filed under the name Golovinomyces cichoracearum. RNAcentral describes it as "eukaryotic LSU rRNA". It matches the Rfam family "Eukaryotic large subunit ribosomal RNA", at positions 102 to 783 of the family's 3401-position model. The record is from RNAcentral. Lineage: Eukaryota; Fungi; Ascomycota; Leotiomycetes; Helotiales; Erysiphaceae.